GUGUAUCAGGAGAGUGGCAGGUGUGUCAGGAGAGUGGCAGGUGUGUCAGGAGAGUGGCAGGUGUGUCAGGAGAGUGGCAGGUGUGUCAGGAGAGUGGCAGGUGUGUCAGGAGAGUGGCAGGUGUGUCAGGAGAGUGGCAGGUGUGUCAGGAGAGUGGCAGGUGUGUCAGGAGAGUGGCAGGUGUGUCAGGAGAGUGGCAGGUGUGUCAGGAGAGUGGCAGGUGUGUCAGGAGAGUGG
Molecule: long non-coding RNA, 237 nt
Organism: Oncorhynchus keta (chum salmon)
Lineage: Eukaryota; Metazoa; Chordata; Actinopteri; Salmoniformes; Salmonidae
Exons: 4
Source: RefSeq, a predicted model, not a curated record